RNAcentral lists this ribosomal RNA (530 nucleotides) under uncultured bacterium. Its description in RNAcentral is "bacterial SSU rRNA". It matches the Rfam family "Bacterial small subunit ribosomal RNA", at positions 355 to 896 of the family's 1533-position model. The record is from RNAcentral.
UGGGGAAUAUUGCACAAUGGGCGGAAGCCUGAUGCAGCGACGCCGCGUGGGGGAUGAAGGCCUUCGGGUUGUAAACUCCUUUCGACAGGGACGAAGCUUUUGUGACGGUACCUGUAUAAGAAGCACCGGCUAACUACGUGCCAGCAGCCGCGGUAAUACGUAGGGUGCGAGCGUUGUCCGGAAUUACUGGGCGUAAAGAGCUCGUAGGUGGUUUGCCGCGUCGUCUGUGAAAUUCCGGGGCUUAACUCCGGGCGUGCAGGCGAUACGGGCUGACUUGAGUGCUGUAGGGGAGACUGGAAUUCCAUGUGUAGCGGUGAAAUGCGUAGAUAUAUGGAGGAACACCGGUGGCGAAAGCGGCUCUCUGGUCUGUAACUGACGCUGAGGCUCGAAAGCGUGGGGAGCGAACAGGAUUAGAUACCCUGGUAGUCCACGCCGUAAACGAUGAGUGCUAGGUGUUAGACCCUUUCCGGGGUUUAGUGCCGCAGCUAACGCAUUAAGCACUCCGCCUGGGGAGUACGACCGCAAGGUUG